CCUGGAAACGGUGGGUGGAUCAAAGCUCCGGCGGCAUAGGAUGGGCCUUGCGACGUAUCAGGUUGUAGGGGGUGUAACGUACCCUCUAGCCAUCAACGCGUACGGGUGUUGGGAGACAUAGCCCGGAGAUGGAUUCUGAGACACGAAUCCAGACCCUACGGGGUGCAGCAGGCGCGAAAACUUGGCAAUGCGAGCAAUCGUGACCAGGGAACUCCAAGUGGCUGGGGUAAUACCCAGUUUUUUCUUGACUCUUCAAAGGUCUUGGAAUAAGGGGUGGGUAAGGACGGUGCCAGCCGCCGCGGUAAUACCGGCGCCUCAAGUGGUAGUCGCUUUUAUUGGGCCUAAAACGUCCGUAGCCGGUCUGGUGCAUUCGUGGGUAAAUCAACCCGCUCAACGGGUUGAAUUCUGCGAGCACGGCCAGACUUGGGACCGGGAGAGGCGUGGGGUACUCUCAGGGUAGGGGUAAAAUCCUGUCAUCCUGAGAGGACCACCUGUUGCGAAGGCGCCACACUAGAACGGAUCCGACGGUCAGGGACGAAACCUAGGGGCACGAACCGGAUUAGAUACCCGGGUAGUCCUAGGUGUAAACGCUGUGGACUUGAUGUUGGGGGCGCUCCGAGCGCUCUCAGUGUCGAAGCGAAGGUGAUAAGUCCACUGCCUGGGGAGUACGGUCGCAAGGCUGAAACUUAAAGGAAUUGGCGGGGGAGCACUGCAACCUGAGGAUUGUGCGGUUUAAUUGGAUUCAACGCCGGG
This 753-nucleotide ribosomal RNA is filed under the name uncultured euryarchaeote. RNAcentral's name for it is "bacterial SSU rRNA". It matches the Rfam family "Archaeal small subunit ribosomal RNA", at positions 169 to 922 of the family's 1478-position model. Lineage: Archaea; Methanobacteriati; Methanobacteriota. The record is from RNAcentral.